GUCUAUAUAUAGCUAUUCACCAUCGCCACUGAAUCAGUGAUAUAUGUACACAUAAAUACAUGUAAGACUAAAAUUAAAGUACAUAUAUAAGACUAAAACUGACAUUCGGUCUUUACCUUCAUUCCCCAAGUCCUGUUCAAAUCUGAUUCAUGAUAAAAUAAAAAUUACAACCAAUGAAAUCAAAGGCGAAUUAAGAGGCCCCCCCCC
RNAcentral lists this long non-coding RNA (207 nucleotides) under Mytilus galloprovincialis (Mediterranean mussel). The record is from RNAcentral. Lineage: Eukaryota; Metazoa; Mollusca; Bivalvia; Mytilida; Mytilidae.